RNAcentral lists this ribosomal RNA (924 nucleotides) under Atheta modesta. RNAcentral describes it as "SSU rRNA". It matches the Rfam family "Eukaryotic small subunit ribosomal RNA", at positions 439 to 1292 of the family's 1831-position model. Lineage: Eukaryota; Metazoa; Arthropoda; Insecta; Coleoptera; Staphylinidae. The record is from RNAcentral.
AAUUACCCACUCCCAGCACGGGGAGGUAGUGACGAAAAAUAACGAUACGGGACUCAUCCGAGGCCCCGUAAUCGGAAUGAGUACACUUUAAAACUUUUCCCGAGGAUCAAUUGGAGGGUAAGUCUGGUGCCAGCAGCCGCGGUAAUUCCAGCUCCAAUAGCGUAUAUUAAAGUUGUUGCGGUUAAAAAGCUCGUAGUCGAAUCUGUGUCCCGCGCCGCUGGUUCAUCGCUCGCGGUGUUCAACUGGCGUGUCUCGCGGGACGUCCUGCCGGUGGGCGCUCGUAUCGUUUCGGCGGUGCGUGGCCCAACUCGUAGCCGUCUCGCGCGGUUGCGAAUCCCAUCGCGGUGCUCUUUAUUGAGUGUCGAGGUGGGCCGGCACGUUUACUUUGAACAAAUUAGAGUGCUUAAAGCAGGCCAAUUUUGCCUGAAUAUUGUGUGCAUGGAAUAAUGGAAUAGGACCUCGGUUCUAUUUUGUUGGUUUUCGGAACCCCGAGGUAAUGAUUAAUAGGAACGGAUGGGGGCAUUCGUAUUGCGACGUUAGAGGUGAAAUUCUUGGAUCGUCGCAAGACGGACAGAAGCGAAAGCAUUUGCCAAAAACGCUUUCAUUGAUCAAGAACGAAAGUUAGAGGUUCGAAGGCGAUCAGAUACCGCCCUAGUUCUAACCAUAAACGAUGCCAGCUAGCGAUCCGCCGACGUUCCUCCGAUGACUCGGCGGGCAGCUUCCGGGAAACCAAAGCUUUUGGGUUCCGGGGGAAGUAUGGUUGCAAAGCUGAAACUUAAAGGAAUUGACGGAAGGGCACCACCAGGAGUGGAGCCUGCGGCUUAAUUUGACUCAACACGGGACACCUUACCAGGCCCGGACACCGGAAGGAUUGACAGAUUGAGAGCUCUUUCUUGAUUCGGUGGGUGGUGGUGCAUGGCCGUU